This 255-nucleotide ribosomal RNA is filed under the name uncultured bacterium. RNAcentral's name for it is "partial 16S ribosomal RNA". It matches the Rfam family "Bacterial small subunit ribosomal RNA", at positions 99 to 354 of the family's 1533-position model. The record is from RNAcentral.
CGGACGGGUGAGUAACGCGUGGAUAACCUGCCGUAUACCGGGGGAGUAACACUUAGAAAUAGGUGCUAAUACCGCAUAAGCGCACGGCUCCGCAUGGGCAGUGUGAAAAACUCCGGUGGUAUACGAUGGAUCCGCGUCUGAUUAGCUAGUUGGCGGGGUAACGGCCCACCAAGGCAGCGAUCAGUAGCCGGCCUGAGAGGGUGGACGGCCACAUUGGAACUGAGACACGGCCCAAACUCCUACGGGAGGCAGCAG